This 380-nucleotide ribosomal RNA is filed under the name uncultured bacterium. RNAcentral describes it as "bacterial SSU rRNA". It matches the Rfam family "Bacterial small subunit ribosomal RNA", at positions 496 to 871 of the family's 1533-position model. The record is from RNAcentral.
ACGCUCGACAGUGUCAGCAGCCGCGGUAAUACGUAGGGUGCAAGCGUUAAUCGGAAUUUACUGGGCGUAAAGCGUAGCGCAGGCGGUUUCGUAAGUCUGUCGUGAAAUCCCCGGGCUUAACCUGGGAAUGGCGAUGGAGACUGCGAGGCUAGAGUUUGGCAGAGGGGGUAGAAUUCCGACGUGUAGCAGUGAAAUGCGUAGAGAUGUGGAGGAACACCGAUGGCGAAGGCAGCCCCUGGGUCAAAACUGACGCUCGAUGCACGAAAGCGUGGGGAGCAAACAGGAUUAGAUACCCUGGUAGUCCACGCCCUAAACGAUGUCGUACUAGUUGGUUGGGUCUUAAUUGACUUAGUAACGCAGCUAACGCGUGAAGUAGACCG